GCAUAGACUAAUUAUAUAUAGAUAUGCCACUCCCCUGUUGGGGCUGGUGACACUACCGCCACGCCAAAAUUGCACCUGGUGGCAAUUCACAGGUACUAAUUUUGGAUAUUUCCGAAGGGAACAUUAUUUUCUCCCCAGUUUUAGUUCAGAGGGUUCUAAAUAUCAUAGCAACCUGCCUGCUAUUUCGAAACUUUGUUGACAUUCAAAUGUCAAAUUCGAGAGUUCGCUCGCUCGAAUAUUCCGGUGAGCCGUUUAUUUAAAUUCCUGCUAAAUGUCUGUUCCGGAAGUCGCUUAUCCCGAAGAAGCAAGCAACAGUUACCGUUCCAAUUGCUGCCAAUGAAUCCGUGUGAGCCGUGUAUGCAGAUCAUGCAGAUGGGCUCGAGAAACCACUGCCGCCUUCUUUAAUUUUUUCCAAGACAUAUUUUAAAGCGGUCUACCAAAAUCCGUUGCCUUGUUUUCAACGGCGUGCUUACCUCCAACAAGGGUAAUUUGGUAAUGCCCGGUUCAGUGCCGUAGCCAGGCUCAAGUCCUUCCCGACGAGCUCACCAGCAGAGUCUUGGACCAAAAGCACCACGUGAUGGACAAGAACACUAGACUAGGAAUCGGUCUAUUGCGACGCUACGGGCAUAACCGAACACCGCCAGCGGAGUUGGACGUGCAUUGCAGUCAGCGCGUUCGGUGUCAGUGGGCAAGCUUUGGAACGGGAACGGAAGCCCAGGUGACUACGCACGUCGAAGAACAGUUGCAAUCUGAAAUGUCACGCACGUAUACAUACACACGAAACUCAACUCAUCCUCAACCAGACCAAAAGUGACCACCAGGACGAGAUGCACGGACUUCUACUGAAGAGAUCUAAUCCAAAAAGAACGCCCCCACACGGAACGGGGGCGAUUUGUAUACCAUUUUUGGUGCGCAGAAGCGGUCGACGAAGCACAACUCGAUCCUCGUACAGGAUGGUUGAUCAGUGGUCGUCGUGAGGACUCAAAGCGGCAUUGCGCUCUCCACGAACGCACAUAGGACCGUGUCCGCGACGCUUGGCGUGGAAAAGCAGUGCGCUAGCGUGAGGCGGUUGGAGUAUGCGUCGCGAAGGCGUGAAAACGCAGUGCGCGAACGCUGGGUAAACGGUGCGAGGGCCUAGGAACGCGGUACCCGAAGACAAGAUGUGAGCAUGCGGCAAGGUAGCAGAAGCGAGUGUGGUCUGGGUAGCGAAAGGAUGGGCCCAUCUGUUCAUUAGAAUAAGGAAGUAGGGAUAACAGUUUGGCAGGAGAAACCAUAAUAUGUAAACUACUCGAAUAAAAAAUGGCAAUUUAGUUUACACGCACACAAUUAUUUUGAGUUAUUUUGGCUUAUUAGUCGGGAGCGUCUGCGAUUUCGCUCGGCUGAACGGAUCCUCAUCAACAAUGGUGAAAUUAUAUUCUCCUCCCUCCCCCCCAACCGAAAUCCUAGCUCCACUUCUGGACCGGUUCCUCAGGCACAAAGCCCAAGAAGCAUAUAAUUACUGACUGCAGGCACGCGGGAAUACGUCAUCAACUUUAUACGCUAGCAAGAAGUGCGGUUUACGGAAAUGGAACGUACCAAAGUGUUAAAAAAGGAUCUGCUCAUUUAACGAUAACGAACAAGCAGUCAUCCUCCAAUAAUAGUUCUCUACGGCAGUCUUUGUCAAGGCAUUACGCUCCAAGAACCACGUUAUGCAGCAGAGCAAUAUUAAACAAUGUCUCUUACAAAUCUUAUUAUUUUGAUAUAACAGCGUUUAUAAUAAAAAGAUUAAUUAUAAAUCAAGCUGUUCAUAUUUUCCAUUUUGAGGCUCUGUAUGAUUUCUGAGCUUCAACUGGUCAGCCUUGUUGUGUAGGAGACGGUGGCGGACGCUCUCAUUCCGAUUCACAAUAUCAAAGCUGAUUGUUUUCUUGAUGUGCCAGCUUCAAGUAAUGACCUUGCUGAAGUUUUUGUCAUUUUUUAUC
Molecule: long non-coding RNA, 1958 nt
Organism: Culex pipiens pallens (northern house mosquito)
Lineage: Eukaryota; Metazoa; Arthropoda; Insecta; Diptera; Culicidae
Exons: 2
Source: RefSeq, a predicted model, not a curated record